This 131-nucleotide transfer RNA is filed under the name Sulfurisphaera ohwakuensis. RNAcentral describes it as "tRNA-Trp". It matches the Rfam family "tRNA". From Rfam's summary of the family: Transfer RNA (tRNA) molecules are approximately 80 nucleotides in length. Their secondary structure includes four short double-helical elements and three loops (D, anti-codon, and T loops). Lineage: Archaea; Thermoproteati; Thermoproteota; Thermoprotei; Sulfolobales; Sulfolobaceae. RNAcentral also lists the same sequence under 1 other name. The record is from RNAcentral.
GGGCCCAUAGCUCAGCUAGGUAGAGUGCCGGGCUCCAGCUUUCAUCGGGUCUUACGACCCUAUAUAAGGGGAUGAGUUAAAGCUGGAGAGGAGAGACCCGGUGGUCCGGGGUUCAAGUCCCCGUGGGCCCA